GAUGUUGUGGCGUAAUGGAAGCGCGCCUGCUUACAGGAGACCUGGGUUCAAUUCCCAGCGAUGUCA
Molecule: transfer RNA, 66 nt
Filed under: Aphanomyces astaci
Lineage: Eukaryota; Oomycota; Saprolegniomycetes; Saprolegniales; Verrucalvaceae
Rfam family: tRNA
About the family: Transfer RNA (tRNA) molecules are approximately 80 nucleotides in length.
Source: Rfam by way of RNAcentral